Molecule: transfer RNA, 85 nt
Filed under: Methanobacteriota archaeon
Lineage: Archaea; Methanobacteriati; Methanobacteriota
Description: Euryarchaeota archaeon tRNA-Leu
Rfam family: tRNA
About the family: Transfer RNA (tRNA) molecules are approximately 80 nucleotides in length. Their secondary structure includes four short double-helical elements and three loops (D, anti-codon, and T loops).
Source: RNAcentral
GCAGGGGUCGCCCAGCCUGGUCAACGGCGUCGGGUUUAGGUCCCGAUCCUUCAGAGGUUCGUGGGUUCAAAUCCCACCCCCUGCA